CCUACUGGUGGCAGCAGUGAGGAAUAUUGGUCAAUGGUCGGGAGACUGAACCAGCCAAGCCGCGUGAGGGAUGAAGUUACAGAGUAUCGUAAACCUCUUUUGUCAGGGAACAAAGGCGGGGACGCGUCCCCGGAUGAGUGUACCUGAAGAAAAAGCAUCGGCUAACUCCGUGCCAGCAGCAGCGGUAAUACGGGGGAUGCGAGCGUUGCCCGGAUUUAUUGGGUUUAAGGGGUGCGCGGGCGGUCUGUUAAGUCAGCGGUAAAAGCCCGGGGCUCAACCCCGGCCCGCCGUUGAAACUGGCAGUCGCGAGUUGGAGAGAAGUAUGCGGAAGGCGCGGUGUAGCGGUGAAAUGCAUAGAUAUCGCGCAGAACUCCGAUUGCGAAGGCAGCAUGCCGGCUCCACACUGACGCUGAGGCACGAAAGCGUGGGUAUCGAACAGGAUUAGAUACCCCAGUAGUC
This 459-nucleotide ribosomal RNA is filed under the name uncultured bacterium. RNAcentral's name for it is "partial 16S ribosomal RNA". It matches the Rfam family "Bacterial small subunit ribosomal RNA", at positions 338 to 795 of the family's 1533-position model. The record is from RNAcentral.